CUGAGGGAAGGGGGCGGUGAGCAAUUCCGUUUUUCUCGUUUGCUGACUUGCAAAGGCUGUUUUUAUCCUUGUUCAGAAACUCAUUGUUCAUGGUUGGAAGGAUUCCCACAGUGGGUCCCUAAUAAGCAGCUUUGCACAAUGGUGGCCCUGAGUCCCUGGACCAGCCCUUAGACAGGCCCCUGUGGCAGGCUGGGCCCAGGGGUGAGUGAGCAGGACCGAGGAGAGGCGGUUGGACGCAGGAGGGCAGGUCAGGCCGAAUCAGGCAGGCCAUGCGCACGCCAGCAGGGGAGAGACGAGAAAGAGUCCAACCUGAUGGCCGACUGUGACUCAAGAAGCCGAUGCAGGGGACAUCCGUGGAGUUGGUCUGACAACAACACUACAGGGACCACCAGCAGGACUCGUGUGGAUACGGACCUGGAGUUCAGGCGUCCGUGUGAGCCGUGCCUCUCCGUGGCAGGCAGCUGGGAGCCUCCUGUGAGGACCCUACCUCUCAAGCGUCCAACAGAAAUAACACCCGGCCCGACCUAAGUCUCCUGACCCCAUCCAGCUCCUCACGUGAGCAACCUCUUCCGGUCCAGAGGAACAGUGGUGAUGCGGUAGGAAAAGCCCCAGCGACCUUACCUGGGGGACCGAACAUUACAAGCCUGAGGUUUCAUCCCAAGGAAAAACAGUUGGUGGCAAAUCCUAGGCUCUUACAUGUGUUUAAAAUACCUUUAAGCUAAAAAACACUUCCUCUCUUAUUGAAAAAAAAGAAAAAAAAGGUUUAUUGUGGAAAAAGG
This is a long non-coding RNA of Herpailurus yagouaroundi (jaguarundi), 779 nucleotides long. RefSeq lists it as uncharacterized. The record is from RefSeq and is a predicted model, not a curated record. The transcript has 2 exons. NCBI's taxonomy places the organism in Eukaryota, Metazoa, Chordata, Mammalia, Carnivora, Felidae.